AUUGAACGCUGGCGGCAUGCCUUACACAUGCAAGUCGAACGGCAGCACGGGUGCUUGCACCUGGUGGCGAGUGGCGAACGGGUGAGUAAUACAUCGGCACAUGUCCUGUAGUGGGGGAUAGCCCGGCGAAAGCCGGAUUAAUACCGCAUACGAUCUACGGAUGAAAGCGGGGGACCUUCGGGCCUCGCGCUAUAGGGUUGGCCGAUGGCUGAUUAGCUAGUUGGUGGGGUAAAGGCCUACCAAGGCGACGAUCAGUAGCUGGUCUGAGAGGACGACCAGCCACACUGGGACUGAGACACGGCCCAGACUCCUACGGGAGGCAGCAGUGGGGAAUGUUGGACAAUGGGCGAAAGCCUGAUCCAGCAAUGCCGCGUGUGUGAAGAAGGCCUUCGGGUUGUAAAGCACUUUUGUCCGGAAAGAAAUCCUUGGCCCUAAUACGGUCGGGGGAUGACGGUACCGGAAGAAUAAGCACCGGCUAACUACGUG
RNAcentral lists this ribosomal RNA (486 nucleotides) under uncultured bacterium. Its description in RNAcentral is "partial 16S ribosomal RNA". It matches the Rfam family "Bacterial small subunit ribosomal RNA", at positions 30 to 507 of the family's 1533-position model. The record is from RNAcentral.